RNAcentral lists this long non-coding RNA (383 nucleotides) under Pelobates cultripes (western spadefoot toad). The record is from RNAcentral. Lineage: Eukaryota; Metazoa; Chordata; Amphibia; Anura; Pelobatidae.
CUCCACCAGCAAAGAGAGUGUCAGGGAGAGGAGCAGGUUACCCCCUCUCCCCAGCGGCAGUCUACAGUUCAGAGAGAGGAGCUUGUUACACCCUCUCUCCAGCUGCAGCCUAACCCACCAAGGGGAGAUGUUAAGCCCCACAACUAUGCAGAUGGGACCGUAGUCUCUGCACUUGCAGCACCAGGGGUAGGGACGGUCGGUCCUGUCCCCCAGCCACAGAGCAGUGUAUCCAGAGGGGAGACAGUCGGUCUCCCCCUCCCACAACCAGGCUACUUCAGUGGUAGCGCUGGCACCCGGGCAGAGUACCGCUGGUCUCUGCCCACUCAGCAACCCACCAAGGCAGUCUACCAGCCCCCCGCACAGCCGUGGUGAGGCACCUGGAC